Molecule: long non-coding RNA, 341 nt
Filed under: Struthio camelus australis
Lineage: Eukaryota; Metazoa; Chordata; Aves; Struthioniformes; Struthionidae
Description: lncRNA (ENSSCUG00000003915.1)
Source: RNAcentral
AUAUUUUUUACUACAUGUAGUUUUCUAAUUUAUAAACUUUGUCUUUAUUUUCUUGUCAGAGGCUUGAAUACCAAAAUAUGCAGAAGCAUAGACAUGGGACAUCCACGUUCCUUAUUAAGCAGAAUUCAGCUUUGAAGAUACUCUAGAGCCUGUGGGUUCAGAUCAGAUGUGAGAGACUUGGAAUCUACAUCUUCAACUGAAUGGGUAAAAUCAAAGAGCUUAUGAAAUAUGUGAGAAAUCCUACUGCAGUUUGUUCCAGACAGACAGAUGCCUAUUGGAUGGAUCAGAGUUUUGAUGCCUAGCAAAAGUGAAUGGCAGUGGAUGUUUUACUCUCAACAGAU